RNAcentral lists this ribosomal RNA (497 nucleotides) under uncultured bacterium. RNAcentral's name for it is "partial 16S ribosomal RNA". It matches the Rfam family "Bacterial small subunit ribosomal RNA", at positions 28 to 507 of the family's 1533-position model. The record is from RNAcentral.
GAUGAACGCUGGCGGCGUGCCUAAUACAUGCAAGUCGAGCGAACAGACGAGGAGCUUGCUCCUCUGACGUUAGCGGCGGACGGGUGAGUAACACGUGGAUAACCUACCUAUAAUACUGGGAUAACUUCGGGAAACCGGAGCUAAUACCGGAUAAUAUAUUGAACCGCAUGGUUCAAUAGUGAAAGACGGUUUUGCUGUCACUUAUAGAUGGAUCCGCGCCGCAUUAGCUAGUUGGUAAGGUAACGGCUUAUCAAGGCAACGAUGCGUAGCCGACCUUAGAGGGUGAUCGGCCACACUGGAACGGAGACACGGUCCAGGCUCCUGAGGGAGGCCGCAGUAGGGUAUCUUCCGCAAUGGGCGAAAGCAUGACGGAGCAGCGCCGCGUGAGUGAUGAAGGUCUUCGGAUCGUAAAACUCUGUUAUUAGGGAAGAACAAAUGUGUAAGUAAAUAUGCACGUAUUGACGGUACCUAAUCAGAAAGCCACGGCUAACUACGUG